Molecule: ribosomal RNA, 232 nt
Filed under: uncultured bacterium
Lineage: Bacteria
Description: partial 16S ribosomal RNA
Rfam family: Bacterial small subunit ribosomal RNA
Source: RNAcentral
GACGAACGCUGGCGGCGUGCUUAACACAUGCAAGUCGAGCGGUAAGGCCCUUUCGGGGGUACGACGAGCGGCGAACGGGUGAGUAACACGUGGGUGACCUGCCCUCAGCUCUGGGAUAAGCCUGGGAAACGUGGGUCUAAUACUGGAUAUGACUCCACGGUGCAUGUCGUGGGGUGGAAAGCCUUGUGCGGCUGAGGAUGGGCCCGCGGCCUAUCAGCUUGUUGGGGGGGUG